Molecule: ribosomal RNA, 499 nt
Filed under: uncultured bacterium
Lineage: Bacteria
Description: partial 16S ribosomal RNA
Rfam family: Bacterial small subunit ribosomal RNA
Source: RNAcentral
GACGAACGCUGGCGGCGUGCCUAAUACAUGCAAGUCGAGCGAAGUUUUUCUGGUGCUUGCACUAGAAAAACUUAGCGGCGAACGGGUGAGUAACACGUAAAGAACCUGCCUCAUAGACUGGGACAACUAUUGGAAACGGUAGCUAAUACCGGAUAACAGCAUUAACUGCAUGGUUGAUGUUUAAAAGUUGGUUUUGCUAACACUAUGAGAUGGCUUUGCGGUGCAUUAGCUAGUUGGUGGGGUAAAGGCCUACCAAGGCGACGAUGCAUAGCCGACCUGAGAGGGUGAUCGGCCACACUGGGACUGAGACACGGCCCAGACUCCUACGGGAGGCAGCAGUAGGGAAUCUUCCGCAAUGGGCGAAAGCCUGACGGAGCAACGCCGCGUGAGUGAAGAAGGAUUUCGGUUCGUAAAGCUCUGUUGUUAGGGAAGAAUGAUUGUGUAGUAACUAUACACAGUAGAGACGGUACCUAACCAGAAAGCCACGGCUAACUACGUG